CACGUAGGGCGCAAGCGUUGUCCGGAAUUAUUGGGCGUAAAGAGCUCGUAGGCGGACUGUCACGUCUGCUGUGAAAAGCUAGGGCUUAACCCUGGCCUUGCAGUGGAUACGGGCAGACUAGAGGUAGGUAGGGGAGAAUGGAAUUCCCGGUGUAGCGGUGAAAUGCGCAGAUAUCGGGAGGAACACCGGUGGCGAAGGCGGUUCUCUGGGCCUGUACUGACGCUGAGGAGCGAAAGCGUGGGGAGCGAACAGG
Molecule: ribosomal RNA, 253 nt
Filed under: uncultured bacterium
Lineage: Bacteria
Description: partial 16S ribosomal RNA
Rfam family: Bacterial small subunit ribosomal RNA
Source: RNAcentral